RNAcentral lists this ribosomal RNA (250 nucleotides) under uncultured bacterium. RNAcentral's name for it is "partial 16S ribosomal RNA". It matches the Rfam family "Bacterial small subunit ribosomal RNA", at positions 524 to 773 of the family's 1533-position model. The record is from RNAcentral.
GACGAACCACCCAAACGUUAUUCGGAAUUACUGGGCUUAAAGGGUGCGUAGGCGGCGCGGAAAGUCAGGUGUGAAAUCCCUCGGCUCAACCGAGGAACUGCGCUUGAAACUACCGUGCUCGAGUGAGACAGAGGUAAGCGGAACUUCGGGUGGAGCGGUGAAAUGCGUUGAUAUCCGAAGGAACACCGGUGGCGAAAGCGGCUUACUGGGUCUUUUCUGACGCUGAUGCACGAAAGCUAGGGGAGCAAAC